CGCGGCCUAUCAGCUUGUUGGUGAGGUAAUGGCUCACCAAGGCGACGACGGGUAGCCGGCCUGAGAGGGCGACCGGCCACACUGGGACUGAGACACGGCCCAGACUCCUACGGGAGGCAGCAGUAGGGAAUAUUGGGCAAUGGGCGAAAGCCUGACCCAGCGACGCCGCGUGAGGGAUGAAGGUCUUCGGAUUGUAAACCUCUUUCAGUAGGGAAGAAGCGUAAGUGACGGUACCUAAAGAAGAAGCACCGGCUAACUAUGUGCCAGCAGCCGCGGUAAUACAUAGGGUGCAAGCGUUGUCCGGAAUUAUUGGGCGUAAAGAGCUCGUAGGUCGUUUGUCGCGUCGAUUGUGAAAAUCUGAGGCUCAACCUCAGACCUGCAGUCGAUACGGGCAGACUAGAGUGUGGUAGGGGAGACUGGAAUUCCUGGUGUAGCGGUGGAAUGCGCAGAUAUCAGGAGGAACACCGGUGGCGAAGGCGGAUCUCUGGGCCAUUACUGACGCUGAGGAGCGAAAGCGUGGGGAGCGAACAGGAUUAGAUACCCUGGUAGUCCACGCCGUAAACGUUGGGAACUAGGUGUUGGCGACAUUCCACGUCGUCGGUGCCGCAGCUAACGCAUUAAGCUCCCCGCCUGGGGAGUACGG
Molecule: ribosomal RNA, 643 nt
Filed under: uncultured Actinomycetes bacterium
Lineage: Bacteria; Bacillati; Actinomycetota; Actinomycetes
Description: bacterial SSU rRNA
Rfam family: Bacterial small subunit ribosomal RNA
Source: RNAcentral